Molecule: long non-coding RNA, 756 nt
Organism: Mustela erminea (ermine)
Lineage: Eukaryota; Metazoa; Chordata; Mammalia; Carnivora; Mustelidae
Exons: 3
Source: RefSeq, a predicted model, not a curated record
UGUGAACCCCUAAAUUAAAAGAGAGAUUAACAAGAGAAAACAAACAGAAGUUUAAUAAUAUGUAGACCUUCUGCAUACAUGGGAGAGACAGAGAAAAACUGAGUAACACCUGAAUAAUACCUCCAAAUGGCCCACGUCACCACCUUACCAUCUCCAGUGAAUAUUGCAGGGGUUUCCUCACUACACUCAUCACUAUGUUUAACUGGUAAUUACUGGAAUGGCUCUCUUACCUUUGCCUUCUGAAUGGUAAGGACAUGGACCAGCUCAGAGCACAUUCCGUUGGCAAGUUUGGCCUACGUCUGCGUUCAUUCAUCUCUCCUCACAUACUGUUGGUUUGAGCCAAUGCUAUGAAGUCUAAUGUACUCUCCGCAUCUUUGUCCUCUAGUUCUUAAAACUGCAAUAUAAAGUUAAUUCAUUACUAUAGAAUGCAACAGCAUGGAUGUUAAAAAACACUACACUGAGUAAAAGAAGCCAGACAUAAGAGGAUGUACUAUACGAUUCUAUUCACAGUAAACUCAAGAAAAGCCUCAUAUAGUCUAUUGUGAGAGAAAACAGAGGAGCUCUGCCUAGGUCUAGGGCCAGAGGAGGAUCCGCUGGAAAGUACAGGAAGGAAUUUUUAAAGUGAUGGAAAUACUCUAUAUUCUGGCUUGGGUGGUGCUCUCGUGGGUGCGGACAUGUAUCAAGAUUACUGAAAUGCGGUCUUUCAUAUGGAUGCCCUUUAUAUAGAUUAUAUUUCAACAAAGUGUGUUAAAAUAG